GUGGUUCCAAGAAAAGCCUCUAAGCUUCAGUCAUACGAGACCGUACCGCAAACCGACACAGGUGGGCGAGAUGAGUAUUCUAAGGCGCUUGAGAGAACUCGGGAGAAGGAACUCGGCAAAUUGGUACCGUAACUUCGGGAAAAGGUACGCCCUUGUAGUUUGACCACUUUACUGUGGAAGGAUGAACGGGUUGCAAUAAACUGGUGGCUGCGACUGUUUAAUAAAAACACAGCACUCUGCAAACACGAAAGUGGACGUAUAGGGUGUGACGCCUGCCCGGUGCCGG
RNAcentral lists this ribosomal RNA (286 nucleotides) under Emiliania huxleyi. RNAcentral describes it as "partial Bacterial large subunit ribosomal RNA". It matches the Rfam family "Bacterial large subunit ribosomal RNA", at positions 1602 to 1872 of the family's 2925-position model. The record is from RNAcentral. Lineage: Eukaryota; Haptophyta; Isochrysidales; Noelaerhabdaceae.